UCUCUGAUAGUAUAUCGGUUAGUACACGCGCCUGUCAUGAGGCCGACUUGCUGGUACGCGCGAAAGCUGGGUUCGACUCCCAGUCAGAGAG
RNAcentral lists this transfer RNA (91 nucleotides) under Pterulicium gracile. Its description in RNAcentral is "Pterula gracilis tRNA-Asp". It matches the Rfam family "tRNA". From Rfam's summary of the family: Transfer RNA (tRNA) molecules are approximately 80 nucleotides in length. Their secondary structure includes four short double-helical elements and three loops (D, anti-codon, and T loops). The record is from RNAcentral. Lineage: Eukaryota; Fungi; Basidiomycota; Agaricomycetes; Agaricales; Pterulaceae.